RNAcentral lists this ribosomal RNA (475 nucleotides) under uncultured soil bacterium. Its description in RNAcentral is "bacterial SSU rRNA". It matches the Rfam family "Bacterial small subunit ribosomal RNA", at positions 35 to 504 of the family's 1533-position model. The record is from RNAcentral.
GCUGGCGGCGCGCCUAAUACAUGCAAGUCGAGCGAGAAGACGUAGCAAUACGUUUGUAAAGCGGCGAACGGGUGAGGAAUACAUGGGUAACCUACCCUCGAGUGGGGAAUAACUAGCCGAAAGGUUAGCUAAUACCGCGUACGCUCCUUGGACUUCGGUUCAGGGAGGAAAGCGAUACCGUGGGUAUCGCGCUCUUGGAUGGGCUCAUGUCCUAUCAGCUUGUUGGUGAGGUAACGGCUCACCAAGGCUUCGACGGGUAGCUGGUCUGAGAGGACGAUCAGCCACACUGGCACUGCGACACGGGCCAGACUCCUACGGGAGGCAGCAGUAAGGAAUAUUGCGCAAUGGGCGAAAGCCUGACGCAGCGACGCCGCGUGGGGGAUGAAGGUCUUCGGAUUGUAAACCCCUUUCGGGAGGGAAGAUGGAACGAGCAAUCGUUCGGACGGUACCUCCAGAAGCAGCCACGGCUAACUUC